Molecule: ribosomal RNA, 499 nt
Filed under: uncultured bacterium
Lineage: Bacteria
Description: partial 16S ribosomal RNA
Rfam family: Bacterial small subunit ribosomal RNA
Source: RNAcentral
GACGAACGCUGGCGGCGUGCCUAAUACAUGCAAGUCGAGCGAAGUUUUUCUGGUGCUUGCCCUAGAAAAACUUAGCGGCGAACGGGUGAGUAACACGUAAAGAACCUGCCUCAUAGACUGGGACAACUAUUGGAAACGAUAGCUAAUACCGGAUAACAGUAUUUCUCGCAUGAGAGAUAUUUAAAAGUUGGUUAUGCUGACACUAUGAGAUGGCUUUGCGGUGCAUUAGCUAGUUGGCGGGGUAAAGGCCCACCAAGGCGACGAUGCAUAGCCGACCUGAGAGGGUGAUCGGCCACACUGGGACUGAGACACGGCCCAGACUCCUACGGGAGGCAGCAGUAGGGAAUCUUCCGCAAUGGGCGAAAGCCUGACGGAGCAACGCCGCGUGAGUGAAGAAGGAUUUCGGUUCGUAAAGCUCUGUUGUUAGGGAAGAAUGGAUAUGUAGUAACUAUACAUGUAAGAGACGGUACCUAACCAGAAAGCCACGGCUAACUACGUG